GUUCGAUCUGGAGGGAAGGUUCACAGAGAGAACUUUCAACUUGUGCUAAAUAAUGACAGAAGUUGUACAUGAAAAACACAUUGCUGAGCAAAAUCCAGAUUUUCCAAAAAUUCAGAAAUUCAAAAUUGAAAGUGCUAGCUGUGGACAGUUCUAGACAGUCUGGGAAUUUCUUCUCCGUUCCACCUCGGAAGCGGUGCUUCAGGGACAAGAGACCCCCUGCAGCUCUGCUGGGCCCAGCCUGAGGGGCCCUGGACGCCAGCCGCCCCAAGGAGACAGACCAUGAGAAAGUUUGCUGACUCCUGGUUUAACAGUAUAAAAGAGAAAAGCCACAUGAUCAUUUGCAUGGAUACUACAAAAGAAUCUGACAAAAUUCAACAUCCAUUCAUGUUAAAAACUCUGAGCAAACUAGCUAUAAUAGGGAACCUCAAUCUGAAAAUGGGCACCAAAAAAAAAACAUACGCCUCAUACUUUCUUAGUGGUGAAACACUGAAUGCUUUCUACGCUCAGGAACAAGGGAAGGAUGUUCACUGUCACCACAUGCAUUUAACAUUAUCCUGGCCUUUCCAGUUAACGCAAGAAGGCAAAAACAAACAAACAAAAAACAAAAACAGAAAGACAAAAAAAAAGCAAGCAUAAAGACUGCAAAGGAAGAAAUGUCCCUAUUUGGAGAUAUGAUUAUUCACAGAGAAAAUCCUAAGGAAAUAAUGGCCUCAUCCAUGUGACCAGGUCAACAUCAGUGGGGAUAAUUCAUGUCAACGGCAUGUACCCUUGAUAUGUAGUGAUGAAAACAGCGCUUCAUUUCCAUGGUCUUCCCCUCAAAAAACAUAAUCCCAGUGUAAGCAUGACCAAAACUCAGACACACCACAAUUAAGAGACGUUCUACAAAAUAUCUGACCAGUAUUUGCCAAAACUGUUCGGUCAUCAAAAACAAGGCGAAAAUGAGAAACUGUCACUGCUAGGAGGAGCCUAAGGAAAUACGAUGACUAUCGUCCACGGCAUCUCGGACUCGAUGAAAUGGGAUCACUGUACCAACCGCAGGCGGCAAUGCAGUGAGCCAUCCGUGCAGCACUUCCAUCAUUUCACAGCCUCAGAAUAAAGUCACAAAGAGAUUUAAGAGACUGAUUGAUACCCAAAUGUCUAUCAACAGACGAAUGGAUAUACAAAGGAAUAUCAGACUCCAAAAGGAAGAAAAUUCUGAUACAUGGCUACAACAUGGAUGAACGUUGAGGACAUUAUGCUAAGUGAAAAAAGUCAGUAACAAAAAGACAAAUACUCUUAUGAUUCCACUGAUAAGAGGUACCCAGGGUCAUCACAUUCACAAAGACAGAAAGUAGAAUGGCAGUUGCCAGGGGCUAAGGGGUGGGAAGAAUAGGAAGUUGUUUAAUGUGUAUAUAGUUUUAGUUUUACAAGAUGAAAAGUGUUCCGGAGAUGGACGGUGGCAAUGGUUGUGCAACAGUGUGAAUAUAUUAACACUACUGAACUGUACACUUAAAAAUGGUUAAGAUGGUAAAUUUGAUGUUACGUGUAUAUUACCACAAUAAAAAUAUUGGGGGAAAAUGUCAUUGGAGUGGAUAUCAACGGACUGUUAAGCAAGGUAAUUAGGUUGUUGCCAUGGCUCUGUUGUCUGGUUUCCCUGAAGAAGUCAUAUUUAAGCUAGGAUCUAAAGAAUAAGUUCUCCCUUCGGCAAAGAAAGGAGAAAGAGCAUUCAAGGUAGAAGAAACAGCAUCUGCAUCAAGUGGUUGGUAAGAGAACUGAUGCAUUACACAGUUUGAAGUAAAUUAGGCGUAAUUUCAAAAGAAUGGCCUACUAAUUCAGCAAUAAAACAAUGUCUGCAAUGUACUGUUAAUUUGAAUUUUGUUGUUUUAUAGUUUUGUUUAUACUGAAUUUGAGAAUGUGUUAAAUUCUGUAGUUGUGGAAGAAUCAAAAGCAGGAUGAAUUAUUUACCUCUGAGGUUUUAAUUUAGAAUAAAAAUAACUUAAAUCAA
Molecule: long non-coding RNA, 1984 nt
Organism: Leopardus geoffroyi (Geoffroy's cat)
Lineage: Eukaryota; Metazoa; Chordata; Mammalia; Carnivora; Felidae
Exons: 5
Source: RefSeq, a predicted model, not a curated record